UUUCGGCCUUGGCCUAUUUUCGCGGUCCGUUGCCGGACAACUAUCGUCGGCGCUUAGGCGUUUCACUUCUGAAUUCGGAAUGGGAUCAGGUGGUUCCGCCUAGCUCUUAAAGACCGAA
RNAcentral lists this ribosomal RNA (118 nucleotides) under Candidatus Woesebacteria bacterium. The record is from RNAcentral. Lineage: Bacteria; Candidatus Woeseibacteriota.